Long non-coding RNA from Cyprinus carpio carpio, 1141 nucleotides. The record is from Ensembl. Lineage: Eukaryota; Metazoa; Chordata; Actinopteri; Cypriniformes; Cyprinidae.
GUUUGAGUUAUUAGUUAAUUUGAUCCCAUGUGUUUCCAUUGAUCCCAGGUGUUCCUCGUCUUCCGCUCAUCAAGUCAUGUGUUUAAAUAGUGUUCCCAACCCAAGUUUCUUUUCCUGCUGUUAAAUGUCAUCCCUGAUGUUCCAGUGUUUGUUGUCUCCUUGUUUCCUGAAUAAAACUCCUUUGAAGUAUUCUCUAGCAUCUCCUCGUCCCUUCCAGCCUGAGUGACCAAACAGCAGACCAAACAUUUUUCUGUGCUUUCCUUCACGUCCCCUAAUGGAGGAACGAGCCCUGUUUAUCGCCAUGGCUCAGGCGAGUCCCAACUUGGUUAGUUAUGUGAAGGCAUUCGUCCCGCUCGCCCAUGCCAGCUCCCUCAAGGGAGAUACACUUGUGACACUGUUCGGGAUCAGGAUAACAUACCAUCAUCCCGUGGAGCUCCCAGACACAACCAACCUUGACUGGAAGUAGGAAGUCAUCCGGUGUCUGGAGAGCCUCCGGUCCCGAUCUGGAACCCCUUAGCCUGGCGGUUCCCGAGCCCGGCCAGCCGAACAUUCAUGUGGCAAGCCCGCCAGUUAAUAUGGCAAGCCCAUUAAACAUUAAUAUGGCAAGCCCGCCAAAUGGUGCUCCAGCCCCAGAGCUCGCUCCAGCCCCAGAGCUCGCUCCAGUGUCGGCUCCAGCCCCACAAAAGUGCAUAUCUGAUCCCCAGUUAAGCCCAGGAGGGGUUCCUGAUUCCCCGUUAAGCCCACGGAGGGCUCCUAUUCCCGAGUCAAGCCCAGGCAGGGCUCCUGUACCCCUGUUAAGCCCACGGAGGGCUCCAAGCCCCGAUUUUAGACCUGUAAGUUUCCCCAAUUAUUUUUUUUUUUGGGGGGGGGGGGGCAGUAAGCAUCAAGCCAUAGAGGCAGUGGCUGGGGCUGCGGCCUCGGAGGCUGCUCCGCCAUGGCCCCUCCGGGUCUCCAGCUCAGCCAUGGCCCCCCUGGGUCUCCAGGUACGCCAUGGCGUCCUGUGCAGGUGCCGCUCUGGUGGCCCACUGUCCCGGGUGUGUCCUAGGUGCCUCCAGAGUGCCCUCCCCCUCCCCUUGUGAUGUUAUGUGGCGUGAGGUCACGCCUUCCAGAGGGGGGCGUCAUGUCAGACUCUGUCCCGUGU